GAUGAACGCUGGCGGCGUGCCUAAUACAUGCAAGUCGAGCGAACGGACGAGAAGCUUGCUUCUCUGAUGUUAGCGGCGGACGGGUGAGUAACACGUGGAUAACCUACCUAUAAGACUGGGAUAACUUCGGGAAACCGGAGCUAAUACCGGAUAAUAUUUUGAACCGCAUGGUUCAAAAGUGAAAGACGGUCUUGCUGUCACUUAUAGAUGGAUCCGCGCUGCAUUAGCUAGUUGGUAAGGUAACGGCUUACCAAGGCAACGAUGCAUAGCCGACCUGAGAGGGGGAGGGGCCACGUGGGAACGGAACCACGGCCGGGACCACAGAGGGGGGCGAAGGAGGGGAAUUGUCCGCAAGGGCGGAAGACCUGCAGGAGAAGCGCGGGGUGAGGGAUAAAGGUCUUGGAAUCAAAAAACUGUGUUAUUGGAGAAAAACAUAGGUGAAGAAAACUGUGCACACCUGAAGGGACCCAAAUAAAAAAGCCACGGCAAACUACGUG
RNAcentral lists this ribosomal RNA (497 nucleotides) under uncultured bacterium. RNAcentral's name for it is "partial 16S ribosomal RNA". It matches the Rfam family "Bacterial small subunit ribosomal RNA", at positions 28 to 507 of the family's 1533-position model. The record is from RNAcentral.